GAUAUAUUUCUUUUAAUCAAUUGAUUUAAAUAAUUUGAUUAACAUUACAUUCAAUAUUAAAUAAUAGAUUGAUAGAUUUAUGGAUUUAUAAUACCCUGGAAUUUGAUAAGUUUAUUGAUAAAAUUCUUAAACAAAAUCUUAAUUUAUCAGAACAGGUUACGAAAGAUAAUCUCUAUUAUGUAAAUUAAUUCUUAUUAGUACACUAUGCAAACAAUAAAGAUUUAUUUGCACACAGACUUUUUUAUGAGAUAGUAAUUACUAGUUGAUAUUUAUUUAUUUAAGCUUACAGACUUUACGUCAUGUCAGAGGCUUAUGUGUUAACUUACGAACAAUUAAGUUGCGCCAGAGGUUCAUUAAUUCACUAGUGUAUACUAUUUUUCAAGAAAAAUGAAAACAAAUAGUUACGAUCGAACCUGUUCAUUAUUAUGAUAAUUGUAUUUGUAUUUUUUUUUUCGUUUUAUUAUAACUUAUUAUUUAAACUGAAUGUAUUGAAUAAUAAAAUUAUAAUUCGAAUUCACUAUUUUCCAAAGAUCUUUAUUUAAUAAAAAAUGUAUUAUAUUUUCCUCAAAAUAAUAAAAAAAAAUGUAUUAUUAAGUUUGAUUGUAUAAUAAAAUGUAAUAAAAACAUUAUGUAACAGUAAUUUUG
This is a non-coding RNA of Cinara cedri, 645 nucleotides long. Lineage: Eukaryota; Metazoa; Arthropoda; Insecta; Hemiptera; Aphididae. The record is from the annotation of a GenBank genome assembly.